CAACUUUCAGCAACGGAUCUCUUGGCUCUCGCAUCGAUGAAGAACGCAGCGAAAUGCGAUAAGUAAUGUGAAUUGCAGAAUUCAGUGAAUCAUCGAAUCUUUGAACGCACCUUGCGCCCUUUGGCUAUUCCGAAGGGCAUGCCUGUUUGAGUAUCAUG
RNAcentral lists this ribosomal RNA (158 nucleotides) under Thelephoraceae sp. C.t.-3. Its description in RNAcentral is "5.8S ribosomal RNA". It matches the Rfam family "5.8S ribosomal RNA". Rfam says of the family: 5.8S ribosomal RNA (5.8S rRNA) is a component of the large subunit of the eukaryotic ribosome. The record is from RNAcentral. Lineage: Eukaryota; Fungi; Basidiomycota; Agaricomycetes; Thelephorales; Thelephoraceae. RNAcentral also lists the same sequence under 6 other names.